AUGGCCUGUGGUCCUAAGAAACAUCUGAUGCACUUAGCGGCUGGAUAAGGUGACUGGCAUGUUUGCUCCUGGUCCAUCCACUGUUCCUCACAAGCUGAAGGAAUGCCUGCCUCUGAUCAUUUUCUAAGGAACAGACUUAGUACGUCCAGACUGGAGAUUCAUGCAGCGCUUCAUUAAGAUUGAUGGCAGAGUCAGGAUUGACAUAACCUGCCCUGCUGGGUUUAUGGAUGCCGUCAGCAUUGACAGAUCUGUGACACCAAGGUCGUUUUGCUGUUCAUUGUGUUACACCUGAGGAAGCCAAGCACAAGUUGUGCAAGGUGAGAAAGAUCCCUCACAAAAGGAACCCCUCAUCUGGUGAGCCACAAUGCUCGUCCUAGUCACAACCGUAACCAAGGAGACAGGCAAAACACCUGACCUCAUCAAGCUUGACACUGGGAAUCUGUAUGGUGACUGGAGGUACUAACUUGGGAAGAACUGCAUCCCAGCUCUUUUGAUGUGGUUCAAGUGAAUGAAAAGAUGCCAAUGGCAACAGCUUUGCCACUCGGCUCUCCAACAUUUUUGUUAUAGGCAAGGGCAACAAACCAUGAAUUCUCUUCCCCAAGGAAAAGGAAUCGGCUCACCAUUGCUGGAGACAAGAGGCUAGAGGCAAGUAGAGCAGUGGG
RNAcentral lists this long non-coding RNA (662 nucleotides) under Mus musculus (house mouse). RNAcentral's name for it is "long non-coding RNA chr2:121718529-121719191". Lineage: Eukaryota; Metazoa; Chordata; Mammalia; Rodentia; Muridae. The record is from RNAcentral.